RNA transcript from Oncorhynchus nerka (sockeye salmon), 9332 nucleotides. It is a transcript of the gene named mucin-2-like, with no coding region annotated. The record is from RefSeq and is a predicted model, not a curated record. Lineage: Eukaryota; Metazoa; Chordata; Actinopteri; Salmoniformes; Salmonidae. The transcript is spliced from 21 exons.
AAAACUGCUUUAUUUAAAAACAUACAAAGUGGAUAAAAGGAGUGCAGUCACUCUGCUGCUGCCUUCUUGCCUCGUUUCCCUGUGGUUUUAGUUUCAGGAGCAGCAGUGUCCCCUUCAUCAGCCUCUGCAGGCUUCUGGAAAGCUUUGGCCUUUGCACCACUUCUUGGCUGCCCCUUCACCCUUGGUUGUCUUCUGUGCUUUGGGUUGAUCCUCAACUGUCCUCUCUGCCCCUUUGUCCUCUUUGACUUGAGCUUCUUAGCAGGGGCCACCUUGGAAGCAGAUGCUUUUGCGGACUUCCUGAGUUUUCAUCCUGAAAGAUGAAAAUGACAGGUUUGCAAUGCUGCUGGUUUGUGGUAGCAUUUAAAAUUGAGAUUCAAUUUGAGAUUCAAUUUAACCUUGGUAAAGCCCAAAUAGGGAACAGUACCCAUGACAAAAGUGUAAAAAAAGUCCCUAUAACCCAAAACCACUUGAACAAUGCCAAUAGUCAGAACAUAACUGAAACCACACUUGCCUCUGAAGGUUUCUCCUUCUGCUUUUUGGCUGUAACCUUUUUCUUCUCAGCUUCUAGAGACAAGAGUUAGUGAUGUGUGUGUAUGCAUGCAAUCAUGGACAUCAUGAGGAGAAGUGAGAUACCCAUACAAGUCAUUGAAUGAGCAAUGUUAAAUGUCCUCCAUUGCAAUGGGUGUAGCUCAAUAACAAUGAUCCCAUACAAGCACGUGAUCAAUGACGUCAAAAGCUUUGUUUCGCUGGGUCCAAGAGGCAAAAAAACAAAUGGAUUAUUUUUUAACCAACCAUGUUCUCAAUGUUCAAAAUACACCAGAGAACAUAUUUAGCCACAGACGAUCAAUAGGUUCUCAAAAAUAACUGGAUUAAAUUUUAUCACAAGAGCAUGCUGCCAAAAUAAAGAAAACGCCAACAAAGUGUCUUAAAAAGGGUGUUUGGCCUCCACCAGCUGCAAGAACAGCUUCAAUACGCCUUGGCAUAAAUUCUACAAAUUGAUCUAAACCAUGGCAGGAAAACGCACCCCACACACACUAUAAACUUUGUCCAUCAGUUAUUCAAAUGUUUCCUUUAUUUUGGUAGUUACAUUGUUGCCUACAGUCUCGAAGACUGCAAUUUGGGCAGCAUGCAUGCCAAAUGUACAGCUUUUUGUGUUGUGGCCAUAGACAUAAUACAUCGAUUUUUGGAUCCUCUUAUCCUGGCAUUUUGAGUGGAAACUCAUGGGUACACUAGCAAUGGCUGCCAGUUCUGAUUUGAACUGGAACUGGCAUCCAUGGAUGAUAUGUAGUUGGUUGCAGCUGUCUGUUUGCACAUUUCAAUAUAAAAAUUGUGGGAAAAACAUAGUUUGGAAAGCAAAUGUCUACUGCUAAAAAUAGGAGACUGUCUCUAGAACCAAUAUAAUUCUCAACUCCCAAUUUUUAGUGACAAGCAGCACCGUUUUUCAAAGUAGCUCAUCUUGAGGUAGGCUAUUGCCAAGAGGAGCGCAUUGGCCAUCACCGUGAGUAGUAGCAUAUGGUGGCCUCAUCAUUGAGUCAGUGUGCCACUGGAAAUUGUAUUUAAUUGCCCAAUGUAGUAAUAUAUAAAUAAAAAACACUAUUCAAACAGGAAUGCUGCUUUAACAUACUCAAUUACAAUUUUUGGGAAGGAAAACCAUUUCAAAUCUGGAAACACUGGUCAUUUACUUUAAUAAGAUUUAGACAUGCAUGGGUCACUUACCCGAAACCUCCCCUGUGCGCCGUUUGCUAUCGAGUUGAUGUCCUCACCAAUACCCCGCCCUCGAUUCCUAUUUUCAGGGUCUUGCGUGUCAUGUACUUCAACUUCAUCAGGUCCACAGAUGGAUAUUUCUCUGUUAUGAAGCCGCGAAUGGCCUGCGAUGAGACGAUUCGAGAGUCCAACUCCUUCAGCGCUUCAUUAACCAACACCAUCGUGGGUGGAUGAAGAGGAGUUUUUCAUGCCACAGCAGGUGCUCUACUUGUUUCUAACAAUGAAAUUGACAAAUCUAUCAACCGUAAUCUGACCAAAUAGCCGUUACUUCUUCAGCGGCUGCUGCUUUUUUUUAGGUGGUAUGAUCUAACGGUUAAUAUCAAAGUUAGGCUAUAUAAAAACGUUAGUUUAAAAUCAGCAACUGCAUUCUCAGCCUACACUGGUUCAAUGUUAUGCACUUCAAGCAAAGCACGCGGUUUAUCUGAACGGGCGUGGAAAUGUAGGUACCAGUCAGAGCAUUAAAGGUAAAAUGAUCAGUCCGAGUAGUGUGAACUCGCUUUUUCUUCUCUCCUCCGUUCCUUCCUUCCAUCCAUCCUUUCCUUUACUGCGCUUAUCAGUUUACCGUCAUUGCUCUGGCAUGUUAUUAAACGUGACUCACCAAACAUAAAUUAAAUAUGAAAACCCUUCUACAUUUUAGAGAUUCUAAAAACCUUCAACCACAAAUGCAGGGUUUUUGUAGUUAAACAUUGUGCAGCUGUUAAAAACUUAAAACAAAAGGUCGAAGAUAAAUAUUUUAUUCAGAAAGACAAGUUAGCUUGUUGGUUUUAGAAAUUGAAUUGCCUGCAAUAAUGAUACAAAAUAAAAUUUCUUGAAGACAGGUAGCUUUAGAACCUAAAAAUAAUUACCGAUGAAUGAUUCUGAAUGUUCAGCCUCCUUGUCCUCUGCAACAUGACAUUAGCCCACAGUUGUCAUAUGAGACAUCUGUGGUUUUCCUGUGAACAAGCUCCACAUCUGCUUUUCUAUUGAAACAUUUCAUCUUUGUCCCAGUCACUGCCACCAUCUUCUGUAAAGUCAGACUAACAGUAUGUAUGUAGCUGUCUAAAAAAUGACAUUAUUCAUCCCUGAUAUGGCUGGUCGUCUGUUUUUACUCAUCCUCCUUUUCGAUACCUUCCAGUACCUCAAAGCCAAAGAUCUUCCUCAGCCCAGUCUAACAGUGAUUCCUGCAGUCAUCAAAGAGAGAGACUCAGUUCAGCUGAACUGUCAGACUCCUCCAUCUGUCUCUGAGUGUUACUUCAAAAUGGAAGGGCAAGUAGAAUUCACCCUUCCAUCACCCUGUCAACAGACACUCACAGGAACACUACUGGUGAGGUGGACAGGUCAGAGUUCACCAGCUGAGGUCAAAAUACAAUGUCAGUACAAUGCUACAGGUUCACAGUUUAGAUCCAUAUACAGUGAGCCUUCAACAGUCACAAUUCAGGACAUUCCUCAGCUGACAGUGAGUUCUACAGUCAUCAGAGAGACAGAAUCAGUUCAGCUGAGUUGUGAGACUCCUCCAUCUCUCCCUGUGUCUCACUGUUACUUCAACAUAGAGGGGGGGAAGAAUCUUCCAGACUCAUUGUGUACUCAGACAAUAACAGGAACUGAGCUGCUCAAGAGGUCUGGUCCAACAUUUCCAGCUGUGGUCAAAGUGACGUGUUACUACACUGUAUGGAAGUCUCACACAUCUCCUUUUAGUGACCCUGUCUCAGUCACUGUUCAGGACAUUGCAGUCAAUUUUGAAGGGUACUUCAACAUCAUCUGUUUGAUUCCUGGAUCCGUCAGUCCUUACACCACCUGUAACCUGUAUGUUGGAGAGGAGAGCCAGCCAUCCUUCACAGAAAAGAUGUGGAAAGACAAAAUCAAAGAUCUGGUGGGAGUUCACAUCAGUGAUCCAACAACUAUACAGACACCUUCUAUAGCAGUGGGUUUGACUCCAGGUCCUAGGUCUACUUUGCCGCCCAGCACGACAGUGAGUCCUACAGAAGUUUCAACUGUUACUUGUGCCUUUACCCCAGACACCACAGUGACACCAACUACCAGGUUGACCUCCCCUUUGACCCCUAGCAGGGCAGUGAAUCCUUCAUCAGAUCCAAUGAUUUCCUUUGCAUCAGCGUCGACUGUUUGCUGUACUUUGACCACUGACACCCCAGCGAGUCCAACUGAAAGAGGUCAAAGCUCCACAGAAAGUGAAGUGGAAUCAAACAGUCAAGAAAGCAUUCUGUUGGGGCAAUUAUGGCAGGCAGCAGUGGGUGUGGCUUCUGGAGUGGGCGUGUUCCUGGUAGGUUUGACAGCUGUCUGUCUCUGCAGGAGGACCAACAAAACCAAUUCUCAGAGACCUACAGCCAGACAGGAUGUUCACAGACAAUAUGAUUUGGUGUCUAUGGGAGCGGUGAGCAGCGGAGUCAUGGUGGAUUCAGGAGAUGCUGGAAUCGAUUCUCAGAUCACUUCUGUACUGUCCAUGUUCAUGCCCUCAGGUCCCGUUGAUGUGGAUUCACAGGCAUUUGCAAAUAAACAUUCUGAUACGUACCAUGUAUACAGCUUAAUCCCCGACAGACCAGCAACCUCAGCCCAGCCGGAUGGGUUGUACAGUCUGCAGACACACUGAAACUACACCUCUGGUUUUCUGUAUCUGUCUCACACAUCUCACACAAAUACAAAUACAUACAUUGAUUAACAGGUAAUAUGUCUACUGUAUUACACAUGGACAACUGGUUUCUGUUACAUGUCUAUCCAUAAUAUCUGUUACUGUGUUAAUAUUUAUAUUUUGGGGAUUUUGGAGGGGUCCGGGGCAUACUCCCCUUUGAGCAUUUUUCUUAUUUCUUCUCCCUAGUAAAUGCUAAAUCUACUGUAUUUAAGUAUUAUGUUGACUGUUUGAUACCUUCUUCCAUAACAGUUGGAUACAAUUAAUUUCCUAUUGGGCAAAACAUAAUCCAAACACAACCAAAACAAACUGCAAAUGCAUACAAACUCAAGUUUGUUGAGUCACAAGCUUGAUGCAUUUAUUGGGUGCAAAGAAUAUAGGACCAAAAUACAUCAUGCUUGACUACUUUAAUACACUAUAAAUUAAUUUGCCCAAAUACUUAUGACUUCUUGAAUUGGGGGGACUAUAUACAUAAAGUGCUUUUUUAUCUCAUUUGUAAAACAUACAAUACCUUCAGAAAGUAUUCACACCCCUUGACUUUUUCCACAUGUUGUUAUGUUACAGCCUGAAUUUAAAAUGUAUGAAAUGUAGAUUUUUUUUUAUGUCACUGGCCUACAAACAAUACCAUAUAAUGUCAAAGUGGAAUUAUGUAAAAAAAGAAGUGUCAAUAAGUAUUCAAUUACUUUGUUAUGGAAAUCCAAAAUAAGUUGAAUAAUACAUUGCAUGGACUCACUCUGUGUGCAAUAACAGUGUUUAACAUGAUUUUUAAUGACUACCUCAUCUCUGUACCCCACACAUACAAUUAUCUGUAAAGUCGGUCAGUAGUGAAUUUCAAGCACAGAUUCAACCAAAAAAAACAGGGAGGUUGUCUAAUGCCUCACAAAGAAGGAAACUAUUGGUAAAAACAAGCAGACAUUGAAUAUCCCUUUGAGCAAGGUGAAGUUAUUAAUUACACAUUGGAUGGUGUAUCAAUAUACCCACUCACAACAAAGAUACUGCCAUCAUUCCUAACUUAGUUGCCGGAGAGGAAAAAACCCACUCAGAGAUUUCACUAUGAGGCCAAUGGUGACUUUAAAACAGUUACAGAGUUUAAUGGCUGUGAUAGGAGAAAACUGAGGAUGGAUCAACAACAUUGUAGUUAAUCUACCAAACUAACCUAAAUGACGGAGUGAAAAGAAGGAAGCUUGUACCUGUUUGCAGCAAGGCACUAAAGUAAUACUGCAAAAACUGGCAAAGCAAUUCACUUUUUGUCCUGAAUACAAAAUGUUAUGUUUGGGGCAAAUAGGAUACAACACAUUACUGAGUACCAUUCUGCAUAUUUUCAUGCACAGUGGUGGCUGCAUCAUGUUAUGGGUAUACUUGUAAUCAUUAAGGGACUGGGGAGAUUUUCAGGAUAGAAAAUAAAUGUAAUGGAGCUAAACACAGGCAAAGUACUAGAGGAAAACCUGGUCGAGUCUGCUUUCCACCAGACACUAGGAGAUGAAUUCACAUUUCAGCAGGAUAAUAACCUAAAACACAAGGCUAAAUAUACACUGGAGUUGCUUACCAAGAAUACAGUGAAUGUUUCUGAGUGGCAGAGUUACAGUUUUGACUUGAAUCUACUUGAAAAUCUAUGGCAAGACCUGAAAAUGGUUGUCUAGCAAUGAUCAACAACCAAUUCGACAGAGCUUGAAGAAAUUUGAAAAGAAUAAUGGGCGAAUGUUGCACAAUCCAGGUGUUGAAAGCUCUUAGAGACUUAGAGACGCAGAAAGACUCACAGCUGUAAUCGCUGCCAAAGGUGGUAAUACAAAGUAUUGAUGUGGUGUAAAGACUUAUCUAAAUGAAAUAUUUGAAUUCAGGCAGUAACACAAUAGUAAUAAUAAUAAUAAGUCAAGGGGAAUGAUUUUUUUUGGAAAAUAUCCUAAUAAAAGGGGAAAUUCUGUACUGUCACCUUAUAUGAAACAUUCUAUCUCAAAUGUAAAAUACUGGAGUAUAGAGCCAAAUAUAUUUUUUUAGCCUCACUGUCCAAAUGCAUAUGGAGUAGAGCGUAUGACCGAUAAAUUAUUCUGAUUGUUCAGAUACCCUUACCUCUGCAACAUUAGCUCACACUUGCUGUAUGAGACUUUUGUUAAGGUUUCUGCUCCUUGUGGUUUUGUAGUGAACAAGCUCCAUAUCUACUUCCCUAUUUAAACAAUCCUCUGACUCAGUCACACACCUUACUGUGAAGUCAGACUAACAGUAUGUAGCUGUCUGACAAAUGGCAUUGUUCAUCCCUGAUAUGGCUGGUCAUCUGUUCUUGGUCAUUCUCCUUUUUGGUGAGUUAUUUCUACAUUUCUACAGUUUCAUCAUCUGUUUGUUCUACAGGAUAUUCCUCUUCUUCUCUCCCCUCUUUUAGUUUUUUUACUUUUUACUCUUUUACUUUAGGAACUCUUGAUAUUUCUGAAUCUCAUGGCUAUGAUGAGUGUCUUGUAUCUUAUUCCAUUAAUCAUCUUAUUUAUUUCUCUCUAUCAUUAUUUUACAAUUUGUUCAGAUAAAAUUGACCACUGCUUGAUCCCCAUUAAUGCAUUACAGUAGAUUACUGUUAGAGGAAUUUCUAAAUUCCUAUAUGUUUUGUAGCCUAAAUCAAAUUCGCACUCUCUCUAUUUCAUUAAUGAGUUGUAAAUUCAUUAAUUAUGCAUGAAAUAGAUCGAGACCAGUCUUAAAAGUCAGGUAACAGCGUUUAUUACAAGAGAGUACUGACACAUACACAUUUUUCCACAGGUUAUAAACUGAAAAUGACGUCAGCGUUUUCUAAAUGUUCUAUCUCUUCAUAACACCGGUAGAGGCCCUAUAGUUUCUCGAGCUUUCGCUCCACGCCUGAAGUCAAGGUCAGUCAGUAUAAAUCAGCAUUCUAGACAGUCUGGAGAUAGUCCGUUCCUGCCACCUGGAGAUUGUACAAAUGAAUGAACUAAGGAACAGACCUUCAUUGUUACUAAACUCCUGACUACAUUAUAUACAAUUGGGAAUGGGAGUAAGAGAGAAAAUUCAUAUAUGUACAGUACAUUAUAGCAUUUGGACUAGUCAGUUCUGAUUGGAAUGUAUACAUAAUUAGUCAUUUCAACCAUAAUUUCCUCCAACAAUUACGCUACUUUACCAACUUGUGUGAAGUGUUCAGGUGUCUCCUGUUAAAACAUACUUUUUGAAUGGCAGAUGAUGAUAAUUUACUUUAUAAUUUCUAGAUACGUUCCAAUCCAUCAAAGCCCAAGGUCAGUAUCAUUAUUAUGAGUUUUUAGUUACCCAGUAAAAAUAUUAUAAUAAUCAUGGUAUAUAUUCUUCUCAUUCAAAUAUAACAUUAGCUGAUAGCAUAUCCAUCUGACACUCUGAAUUCAAAAUGAAUUACGGAUAAAUGAUUAAUACAAUACAGUGCUGAAGGUUGGCAGUUUAAAUCUGUAUACAGUGAACCUACUUCUGUCCAAAUUCAGGGUAAAACUAAUGUCUAUAGCUGUAAACACUGCAAACAAUGUUCUGCUCAGUUGGUCAUCUAGAAACACAUUGUCAUAUUGUCUUUUUGCAAAGAGCAAUUGCAUGAAAAAAUAUAUUAUAUCCCCUUUAUUUCCCAUACUAUCGCUGGGAAUUAUUCUCAAAGUGUGAUUGUUUUAUGUUUAAUGGCUGACAGUAGAUUUCCCAAACCAGUAACAAAAUGCUCAGUACCUCUGUCCUCUCAGAUCUUCCUCUCCUUCCUGAGCGGUAUGACGGCUGUGUGGUCCCAUGGUGUUUAUACUUGCGUACUAUUAUUUGUACAGAUGAACGUGGUACCUUCAGGGGGUUGGAAAUUGCUCCCAAGGAUGAACCAGACUUGUGAAGGUCUACAAUUUUUUGGGGUCUUGGCUGAUUUCUUUUGAUUUUCACAUGAUGUCAAGCAAAGAGGCACUGAGUUCGAAGGUAGCCCUUGAAAAACAUCCACAGGUACACCGCCAAUUGACCCAGAUGAUGUCAAUUAGCUUAUCAGAAGCUUCUAAAGCAAUGACAUAAUUUUCUGGAAUUUACCAAACUGUUUAAAGGCGCAGUCAACUUAGUGUAUGUAAACUUCCGACCCACUUGAAAUGUGAUACAGUUAAUUAUAAGUGAAAUAAUCUGUCUGUGAACAAUUGUUGGAAAAAUGACUUGUGUCAUGCACAAAGUAGAUGCCCUUACCGACUUGCCAAAACUAUAGUUUGUUAACAAGAAAUUUGUGGAGUGGUUGAAAAACGAGUUUUAAUGACUCCAACAUACAGUUGAAGUCAGAAGCAUGUAAACAGAAGUAUGUAAACUUCUGACUGCAACUGUAUGAAUAGUCACAUUACACCUUCCUACAUACACAUUUUACCUGAGUUACCUCCAGUAUAUAGCCUCGUUAUUGUUAUUUUAUUGUUACUUAUUUAAAUGUUUUUUUAUUUGAUUUAUUUAGAGUUUUUUAGCAAAUAUUUUCUUACUUUCAGCAAUGCAGUGUUUUAAAGUUAAGUGUUUCAUGGUAAGGUUGUAUUGUAACACCUGUUGUAUUCGGAGCAUGUGACAAAAACAUUUUAUUUUAUUUGAUAUGAAACAAAUGUACAUUUCUCUUCUCAUCUCUUCUCACCAGGUUUGACCUCUCCUUUGGCCCCCAGCACAGCAGUGAAUCCUACAUCAGAUGUGUUGGUCAUCUUUAGUUAGUAAAACUGAAAAUGAUUAACUUAUUUUAUCAGACCCAGAUUUGACUGUUAGUCCUACUUUGACAACUGACACACCAAAGAGUCCAACUGAAAGAGGUCAAAGCUCCACAGACAUUGUUGUGAAUUCAAACAGUCAAAAAAGAGUUUGGGUAUUUACAUUUGGAUUAAGAGCUAAUGACCUCUCCUGAUGACAUCAUGUCACCAAACAGAGGUGCAAUUAUGGCAGACAGCAGUGUGUAUGGCUUCUGGAGUGGGCGUGUUCUUAAUGGGAUUGACAGCUGUCUAUCUCUGCAGGAGGACCA